GUGGCGUUAGUGUAAUCUGGUUAGCACAAGAGACUGUGGAUCUCUUAGUCUGGGUUCAAAUCCCAGGCGCCGCCCCA
RNAcentral lists this transfer RNA (77 nucleotides) under Candidatus Woesearchaeota archaeon. RNAcentral's name for it is "tRNA-His". It matches the Rfam family "tRNA". Rfam says of the family: Transfer RNA (tRNA) molecules are approximately 80 nucleotides in length. Lineage: Archaea; Nanobdellati; Candidatus Woesearchaeota. The record is from RNAcentral.